Molecule: ribosomal RNA, 253 nt
Filed under: uncultured bacterium
Lineage: Bacteria
Description: partial 16S ribosomal RNA
Rfam family: Bacterial small subunit ribosomal RNA
Source: RNAcentral
UACGUAGGGUGCGAGCGUUGUCCGGAAUUACUGGGCGUAAAGCGCACGUAGGCGGAUCGUUAAGUCGGGGGUGAAAUCCUGGAGCUCAACUCCAGAACUGCCUUCGAUACUGGCGAUCUUGAGUCCGGAAGAGGUGAGUGGAACUCCUAGUGUAGAGGUGGAAUUCGUAGAUAUUAGGAAGAACACCAGUGGCGAAGGCGGCUCACUGGUCCGGUACUGACGCUGAGGUGCGAAAGCGUGGGGAGCAAACAGG